UACGUAGGGUGCAAGCGUUAAUCGGAAUUACUGGGCGUAAAGCGUGCGCAGGCGGUUGUGCAAGACAGAUGUGAAAUCCCCGGGCUUAACCUGGGAAUGGCAUUUGUGACUGCACGGCUAGAGUGUGUCAGAGGGGGGUAGAAUUCCACGUGUAGCAGUGAAAUGCGUAGAUAUGUGGAGGAAUACCGAUGGCGAAGGCAGCCCCCUGGGUCAAGAUUGACGCUCAUGCACGAAAGCGUGGGGAGCAAACAGG
This 253-nucleotide ribosomal RNA is filed under the name uncultured bacterium. RNAcentral's name for it is "partial 16S ribosomal RNA". It matches the Rfam family "Bacterial small subunit ribosomal RNA", at positions 524 to 776 of the family's 1533-position model. The record is from RNAcentral.